This is an RNA transcript of Molossus molossus (Pallas's mastiff bat), 1449 nucleotides long. It is a transcript of the gene named sirtuin 4, with no coding region annotated. The transcript is spliced from 5 exons. Lineage: Eukaryota; Metazoa; Chordata; Mammalia; Chiroptera; Molossidae. The record is from RefSeq and is a predicted model, not a curated record.
GGGCGCCAACUAGACAAUCUGGUCAUCUCAACUGUGAAACCUAAAAAUUGUGGGACUUGUAGUUUUUGUGUUAUUCACGCUUCGUAAACUACAUUUCCCAAAAUGCCAAUGUAGCCGGUCAGUCCCACUGUCGGACUUGAAGUGUUCCUUAAGCUGUGAAAGAAUGAGGAUGAACUUUGGGUUGACUUUCAGGGCAGCGAAAGGCUGCUGGACAGUGAACCUCAGCCAGCAGUGCUCACAUGGAUCCACUGGGUUAUUUGUGCCACCAAGUCCUCCCGUGGACCCUGAGAAGGUCAAAGAAUUACAGCGCUUCAUCACCCUUUCCAAGAGACUCCUAGUGAUGACCGGGGCAGGAAUCUCCACGGAGUCAGGGAUCCCAGACUACAGGUCAGAAAAGGUGGGACUUUAUGCCCGCACUGACCGGAGGCCCAUCCAGCACGGGGAUUUUGUACGGAGUGCUCCAAUCCGCCAGCGGUACUGGGCGAGAAACUUUGUGGGCUGGCCUCAGUUCUCCUCUCAUCAGCCUAACCCUGCACACUGGGCUUUGAGCAACUGGGAGAGACUUGGAAAGCUGUACUGGUUGGUGACCCAAAACGUGGAUGCCUUGCACACCAAGGCGGGGAGUCAGCGCCUAACGGAGCUCCACGGAAGCAUGCACAGGGUCCUCUGCUUGGAUUGUGGUGAACAGACUCCCCGUGGGGCGUUGCAGGAGCGUUUUGAAGUCCUGAACCCCACCUGGAGUGCUGAGGCCCACGGCCUGGCUCCCGACGGCGACGUCUUCCUUACAGAGGAGCAGGUGCGGAGUUUUCAGGUCGCACCCUGUGCUCGAUGUGGAGGCCCCCUGAAACCAGAUGUAGUUUUCUUUGGGGACACAGUGAACUCCGACAAGGUCGACUUUGUGCACAGGCGUGUCAAAGAAGCCGACUCUCUCUUGGUGGUGGGAUCGUCCUUACAGGUGUACUCAGGUUACAGGUUUAUCCUCACUGCCCGGGAGAAGAAGUUACCAAUUGCAAUACUGAACAUUGGGCCCACUCGGUCGGAUAACUUGGCGUGUCUGAAACUGGAUUCUCGUUGUGGGGAGUUGCUGCCUUUAAUAGACCCACACUGACCACAGCCUGAUGUUCCUGAGCCAGAAGCUGGGGCUUUCACUGUAUCCUGCUGCUAAAGAUCCCUAAGGAUUCAUCCCUUCUCCCUUUAACUAAUUGAAGCUCACUGAGUUCAGCCUGUAGAGAGCAGCAAACCAACAUUUCUCUGCCAGCCUAUCUUGGAACUGGGCAAGUUUCAGAGCCAAGGAGUUAAAAUCUUUAGGCUGAUGAGAUUUGCCCCUGAAGAAAGACUUUUUCAAAGCAGCAGUUUCCCCUGAUAAGAAAACUGCUUUCACUUCCUUUUUAUCUCAUCAGGCAGAAGAAAUGGCCCAAGAAAUAUGUAGGUCAGAAUGGUCUCUGGAGU